This 164-nucleotide non-coding RNA is filed under the name uncultured Bacteroides sp. The record is from RNAcentral. Lineage: Bacteria; Pseudomonadati; Bacteroidota; Bacteroidia; Bacteroidales; Bacteroidaceae.
GCCCCAAAGGCUAAGUUUUAAAAGGGAAUCCGAUGCAAUUUCGGAGCUGUACCCGCAGCUGUAAUCCUCUAAAAAGUCUUGUACAUUGAUGUCACUGUUGCCUAUAUGGGCGAUGGGAAGGCGUGCAAGAUGGAGGUAGCCAGAAAACCUGCCAAAGAUUAAAA